GUGGGGAAUAUUGGACAAUGGGGGGAACCCUGAUCCAGCCAUGCCGCGUGUGUGAAGAAGGCCUUUUGGUUGUAAAGCACUUUAAGCGAGGAGGAGGCUACCGAGAUUAAUACUCUUGGAUAGUGGACGUUACUCGCAGAAUAAGCACCGGCUAACUCUGUGCCAGCAGCCGCGGUAAUACAGAGGGUGCAAGCGUUAAUCGGAUUUACUGGGCGUAAAGCGCGCGUAGGUGGCCAAUUAAGUCAAAUGUGAAAUCCCCGAGCUUAACUUGGGAAUUGCAUUCGAUACUGGUUGGCUAGAGUAUGGGAGAGGAUGGUAGAAUUCCAGGUGUAGCGGUGAAAUGCGUAGAGAUCUGGAGGAGUACCGAUGGCGAAGGCAGCCAUCUGGCCUAAUACUGACACUGAGGUGCGAAAGCAUGGGGAGCAAACAGGAUUAGAUACCCGAGUAGUCC
RNAcentral lists this ribosomal RNA (451 nucleotides) under uncultured bacterium. RNAcentral describes it as "partial 16S ribosomal RNA". It matches the Rfam family "Bacterial small subunit ribosomal RNA", at positions 354 to 796 of the family's 1533-position model. The record is from RNAcentral.